ACGCAGCACUGACCGUUGGGAUGUACGCAGGGACCCACACCCUCUUUCAUGCCUAUGACUGCUGGAAAAGGGGUCUCCGCACACAAAGCCAGACCCGAGCAAUGGCCAGCGAAAUCAUUCUGCAAUGCUUCUGAGGACUAGCAGCCAACCCUACAGCCACUUGCCAGAGGAAGAGACCAAAACUCAGGGCCACCGCCAACAAAUGAAGCCCCAAACUCAAUAGAACACAGACCAAAGAGCCAAGUGAGGUCACAGGAGAAUCCCAGGGCUCAGAGGAAAAAGGGGUUGCAAGGAAUCUCACAGACGCUCUCCACACUCUGCUCUCAGCACUCAGGAUCCUCUUCUGUCUCUCCAGUGCUGUGGUUACAGGUACACUCCACAGAGUCCAGCUGUACCUGCCUCAACACCCCAGCUACUCUGGACAGCUCCCCCUGACAAGAAGACUGACAGCGAGGAGGAACAAUAUUCACUGGAAGAAAAACUGGGGGAAAAGAAGCUACAUUUUUUUUAAGCUUUCCCAUGGAUCACACUUUCACACGUUAACAGCCUACUCUCUCAAAAGCUUUACACGCAGGAACCGGGGAUGUGGCUCAGCAGUAAGAGCAUUUGCAGCUCUUGGAUGACCCAGGUUCACUUUCCAGGGCCCAUGUGGUGGCGGGCGACCACCUAGACUCUAGUUCCAGAUCUGAUGCUCUCUUUUGACCUCAAGAUGCACACACAUACACAUAGG
This is a long non-coding RNA of Mastomys coucha (southern multimammate mouse), 730 nucleotides long. RefSeq lists it as uncharacterized. The record is from RefSeq and is a predicted model, not a curated record. The transcript is spliced from 4 exons. NCBI's taxonomy places the organism in Eukaryota, Metazoa, Chordata, Mammalia, Rodentia, Muridae.